RNAcentral lists this ribosomal RNA (781 nucleotides) under Streptomyces cirratus. Its description in RNAcentral is "bacterial SSU rRNA". It matches the Rfam family "Bacterial small subunit ribosomal RNA", at positions 56 to 854 of the family's 1533-position model. The record is from RNAcentral. Lineage: Bacteria; Bacillati; Actinomycetota; Actinomycetes; Kitasatosporales; Streptomycetaceae.
UGCAGUCGACGAUGAAGCCCUUCGGGGUGGAUUAGUGGCGAACGGGUGAGUAACACGUGGGCAAUCUGCCCUUCACUCUGGGACAAGCCCUGGAAACGGGGUCUAAUACCGGAUAAUACUCCUGCCUGCAUGGGUGGGGGUUGAAAGCUCCGGCGGUGAAGGAUGAGCCCGCGGCCUAUCAGCUUGUUGGUGGGGUAAUGGCCCACCAAGGCGACGACGGGUAGCCGGCCUGAGAGGGCGACCGGCCACACUGGGACUGAGACACGGCCCAGACUCCUACGGGAGGCAGCAGUGGGGAAUAUUGCACAAUGGGCGAAAGCCUGAUGCAGCGACGCCGCGUGAGGGAUGACGGCCUUCGGGUUGUAAACCUCUUUCAGCAGGGAAGAAGCGAAAGUGACGGUACCUGCAGAAGAAGCGCCGGCUAACUACGUGCCAGCAGCCGCGGUAAUACGUAGGGCGCAAGCGUUGUCCGGAAUUAUUGGGCGUAAAGAGCUCGUAGGCGGCUUGUCACGUCGGAUGUGAAAGCCCGAGGCUUAACCUCGGGUCUGCAUUCGAUACGGGCUAGCUAGAGUGUGGUAGGGGAGAUCGGAAUUCCUGGUGUAGCGGUGAAAUGCGCAGAUAUCAGGAGGAACACCGGUGGCGAAGGCGGAUCUCUGGGCCAUUACUGACGCUGAGGAGCGAAAGCGUGGGGAGCGAACAGGAUUAGAUACCCUGGUAGUCCACGCCGUAAACGUUGGGAACUAGGUGUUGGCGACAUUCCACGUCGUCAGUGCCGCAGCUA